Molecule: microRNA precursor, 57 nt
Filed under: Heliconius melpomene (postman butterfly)
Lineage: Eukaryota; Metazoa; Arthropoda; Insecta; Lepidoptera; Nymphalidae
Description: Hme-Mir-184_pre stem-loop
Source: RNAcentral
CCUUGUCAUUCUUCUUGCCCGGUGUUUAUCACUACUGGACGGAGAACUGAUAAGGGC